Molecule: long non-coding RNA, 534 nt
Filed under: Astyanax mexicanus (Mexican tetra)
Lineage: Eukaryota; Metazoa; Chordata; Actinopteri; Characiformes; Acestrorhamphidae
Description: lncRNA (ENSAMXG00005025224.1)
Source: RNAcentral
GCGACCUUACGGUGGCCGAGAAAGCCCAACGCUGUGCAAAUUGAAAAGCAAAAAGCAGAAAAUACAUCCAUCAAAAUCACUGCAAAUCGAGAAACGCGCUUCAAAUACAACCACAACACAACGGAAUUUUCCCGGGGGACCUUAAAAGAUGCUGUACCAUCUAAACUACGUCUUCAGUAGCGUCUCGGACUUCACUGUGUGUACAGAGGACUAUAAAUGGCAAACAAGCUUCUGAAAAGUCAUGUUUUGCCCAUUUUGUGGAAAUGCUUUGGAGGAUAUUGGGACAUUCUGUCUGUCCUGUGGUGGGAAUAUUCCAUUUUUAAGAAAUGUUCAAAAUGGUAAGUUUUCUUUGUAACAUAUGUUUUAAUAUAAUUUCCACAUUUUAUUGAUUGAUGUAGUCCAAAUUGCUAGCAACCAUACGUUUUAUCCCCUCACCCAAAAUACCUCAGGUGUGGUCAGUGAAUAUUAGUCUCAUUUCUAAACAACAGUACUAAUUUCCCAUGUAACGGGUAUAUCAAUUUGUGACAUAUUUCU